RNAcentral lists this transfer RNA (71 nucleotides) under Neotoma lepida (desert woodrat). It matches the Rfam family "tRNA". From Rfam's summary of the family: Transfer RNA (tRNA) molecules are approximately 80 nucleotides in length. Their secondary structure includes four short double-helical elements and three loops (D, anti-codon, and T loops). Lineage: Eukaryota; Metazoa; Chordata; Mammalia; Rodentia; Cricetidae. The record is from Rfam by way of RNAcentral.
UAGGAUAAGGCAUAAGGGUUCCAUGGAGAUUUUUGAAUUCUUAGGUAUAGGUUCAGCUCCUAUUAUCCUAG